Molecule: long non-coding RNA, 1530 nt
Filed under: Sus scrofa (pig)
Lineage: Eukaryota; Metazoa; Chordata; Mammalia; Artiodactyla; Suidae
Description: lncRNA (ENSSSCG00015052996.1)
Source: RNAcentral
UUUUUUUUUUUUUUUUUGGCUGCCCCGCAGCAUAUGGCGCCUNUCCAGGGAUUAAAUCUGAGCCGCAGCCAUGAACUAAGCUGAAGUUUCUACAUACCAGGAUUAUAUUAAACUCUUUACACACAUUUUUCAUAUGGAUAUUCACAACAGUCCUAUAGAUUAGGUACUGCCCCUAUUACCUAUUACCUAGACAGGUUUGCCCCAUACCUAUACUUUGUUACGAGAGAAUAAAACACCACAGCAUAGAAGCCAUGAUUGUAAGAUCUCCAUAAGAUUCUGUAUUCUUUGUUUAGUCUCCCAUAUAUUCUUGUAGAGAUUGGGAAUAAACUCAUAGGAAUAAAAAAAUAGAGAGCUCACUGCUCUUGUCUUUGGGAGUAAAAAGAAAAGGAGUAAUUGUAUUAAUCUCAUCCAUUUGGGUAGCCAGUCUUCCUGGGGGCCUGGCUUCCAGGGAUAUAGCAAUCAAAGACAAUUCCUAAGCACAAGAAAAGUAGGCUAGGGCGCAUCAGCCUGUGUCAUGAUUUCCCCAGCACAUUUUGCUACCUCUCUUAGAGAAGGAGGAUGGUCAUUGUCUGAAAAUCUUGUGUUCUUCUGACCACUAGGAGAAACCAAAAUCUACUCUUCUCCAUUCAAAGAAAGUGUUCAUUGGAGUUCCUGUCGUGGUGCAGCAGAAACAAAUCCGACUAGGAAUAAUGAGGUUGCAGGUUCGAUCCCUGGCCUCGCUCAGUGGGUUAAGGAUCCAGUGUUGCCGUGAGCUGUGGGGUAGGUCGCAGAUACGGCUUGGAUCCUGCCUCACUGUGGCUGUUUUGUAGGCCAGCAGCUGUAGCUCUGAUUCGACCCAUAGCCUGGGAACCUCCAUAUGCUGCAGGUACGGCCCUAAAAAGCAAAAAAACAAAACAAAAAAAAAAACAAAACAAAAAAAGUAUGCAUUGAUCCCCACCCAAUAUUUUAUAUCUCUAAACAGCUGCCUCACCAUGACAUAACUAGCCUUCAAUAUGUCUGAUUCAAUCUUCCAGCAGUCUUUUAGACAAUUCUGUUUAAGUCUUUAACAAAACAAAAAUCCACAUAAAAUAAGUUAUCUGGACAUAGAUCAUUUUUUUUCAGUUCAAUAAAUAAUGAUCACUAAGCAGACUUUUUUCCAGGGCAUAUGGAUUUCCCAGGCCAGGGAUCAGAUCUGGGCUGCAGUCUCAAUCUAAGCUGCAGCUGUGGCAAUGCCCGAUCCCCAACCUACUGUGUGGGGCAGGGGAAUCAAACCUGCAUCCCAACCCUCCAGAGACACUGCUGAUCCCAUUGCACCAUAGCAGGGAACUCCUCAUAAAUUUCCUAAAUAGAAAUUUUAAUUUCUAUUUCCCACUGAACAAAGCUCUUAGACUCCUUCCUUGGCCUCCUCACCCCUAGAGCGUGGCUUCCCUUCACCUCGACAUCUUACCCCACCCCGAGGAGUCUCAUUUUAACUCCCUCCCCAUUUCUAUAAACUCUCCACCACAGAAUCCUGACAACAGUCACGCAAGUCCUCAUCUAUCCUAGACAGGU